Molecule: ribosomal RNA, 118 nt
Filed under: Suricata suricatta (meerkat)
Lineage: Eukaryota; Metazoa; Chordata; Mammalia; Carnivora; Herpestidae
Source: RNAcentral
GUCUACGGCCAUACCACCCUGAACGCGCCCGAUCUCAUCUGAUCUCGGAAGCUAAGCAGGGUCGGGCCUGGUUAGUACUUGGAUGGGAGAACCCAAUGUGAGACUCGAACUAAAGAUC